RNAcentral lists this ribosomal RNA (990 nucleotides) under Echinostoma paraensei. RNAcentral describes it as "16S ribosomal RNA". The stretch from base 642 to 990 matches the Rfam family "Bacterial large subunit ribosomal RNA", at positions 2048 to 2707 of the family's 2925-position model. Lineage: Eukaryota; Metazoa; Platyhelminthes; Trematoda; Plagiorchiida; Echinostomatidae. The record is from RNAcentral.
UUUUGAGAUAUAAUCCAUAUUUUGUUUAGAGACGGUUUUUAAUUUUAUGGGGUUAUUUAUAUUACCUUUUGCAUCAUGAUCUGUUGAUGGUUGUUACGGUUUGUAGUAAUCCGAAAGAUGUCGAUAUCUAUUUUCGUUGCUUAGUGAUUUUUUUCUAAGGCGGGUAGCCUAGAUGAAAUGAGGAUAGUGUUUUGAUAAAUAAUUCGGGUCAUCUAAUAUCUGGUUGGGGGUCAUUUUUUUGAUUUAUUUAGUUAGCUAUGGUGUUAAUUAAAGGAUUAUAGCAUUAUUUAGAUUGAGAAAUCUCUUGGGUUAAAGUUACCCCCGAGGAUUGUGUGUGUUAUUACUCUUUUUUUUUCUGUUUUGCUUAAUUUUAGUGGCUCUCUUUAUAAUAUAUGUUGAUUAGUAUGAUAGAAUAAGUAGGUUUUGAAUACUUUCAUUUUUUCUCGAUUGCUUUCGGUCUGUUUAUUAAAAACAUUUCUAUCUUUUUUUUUGGAUAGUAGUGCCUGCCCAAUGCUUAUGUUAAUGGCCGCAGUAUCUUGACUGUGCUAAGGUAGCAUAAUUAGUUGCCUCAUAAUUAGGGGAUUGUUUGAAUGGUUUGACUAGGGGGUUUGAUUAGAUUGGGAGUUUUUCUGAAAUUAGUUUGUUGGUGCAGAACCCAACAGGUGUUAGUUAGACGGAAAGACCCCGAGAUCUUUAUGUUGUGAUGUUUACUUGGGGCAAGGUCAUAUUUUUUAUGUGGUUGUUGAUCCUAAGGGAUUAUAGGUAUAAGUUACCUCGGGGAUAACUAGGUAAAAGACAAGGAGAGACCUAAUCGAUUUGUUUAAUUGCCAUCUCGAUGUUGACUUGGGAAAUAUAUUAAGGUGCGGAUUUUAAUAUUUGGUCUGUUCGACCGCUAUUCCCUCAUGAGUUGAGUUAAGACCGGCGUGAGCCAGGUCGGUUCUUAUCUACUUUUGUUGUAAAUUAGUACGAAAGGAUUGUUUACAUUUUAUG